This 497-nucleotide ribosomal RNA is filed under the name uncultured bacterium. RNAcentral describes it as "partial 16S ribosomal RNA". It matches the Rfam family "Bacterial small subunit ribosomal RNA", at positions 28 to 507 of the family's 1533-position model. The record is from RNAcentral.
GAUGAACGCUGGCGGCGUGCCUAAUACAUGCCAGUCGAGCGAACAGACGAGGAGCUUGCUCCUCUGACGUUAGCGGCGGACGGGUGAGUAACACGUGGAUAACCUACCUAUAAGACUGGGAUAACUUCGGGAAACCGGAGCUAAUACCGGAUAAUAUAUUGAACCGCAUGGUUCAAUAGUGAAAGACGGUUUUGCUGUCACUUAUAGAUGGAUCCGCGCCGCAUUAGCUAGUUGGUAAGGUAACGGCUUACCAAGGCAACGAUGCGUAGCCGACCUGAGAGGGUGAUCGGCCACACUGGAACUGAGACACGGUCCAGACUCCUACGGGAGGCAGCAGUAGGGAAUCUUCCGCAAUGGGCGAAAGCCUGACGGAGCAACGCCGCGUGAGUGAUGAAGGUCUUCGGAUCGUAAAACUCUGUUAUUAGGGAAGAACAAAUGUGUAAGUAACUAUGCACGUCUUGACGGUACCUAAUCAGAAAGCAACGGCUAACUACGUG